This is a non-coding RNA of Oryza barthii, 205 nucleotides long. Lineage: Eukaryota; Viridiplantae; Streptophyta; Magnoliopsida; Poales; Poaceae. The record is from Rfam.
AAAAAGACAAACCCCGAUUUUUCGUGUCCAACUUUGACUAUCCGUUUUAUACGAAAUUUUUUUAUAAUUCGUAUUUUCAUUAUUGUUACAUGAUAAAACAUGAUUAAUAUUUUAUACGUAACUUGUCUUUUUAAUUUUUUUCAUAUUUUUUUCAAAUAAGACGGACGGUCAAACGUUGGACACGAAAAUUAGGGUUUGUCUUUUU